Molecule: ribosomal RNA, 374 nt
Filed under: uncultured organism
Description: partial 16S ribosomal RNA
Rfam family: Bacterial small subunit ribosomal RNA
Source: RNAcentral
GUAGGUGGCAAGCGUUGUCCGGAAUUAUUGGGCGUAAAGCGCGCGCAGGCGGUUCUUUAAGUCUGAUGUGAAAGCCCACGGCUCAACCAUGGAGGGUCAUUGGAAACUGGAGAACUUGAGUACAGAAGAGGAAAGCGGAAUUCCACGUGUAGCGGUGAAAUGCGUAGAGAUGUGGAGGAACACCAGUGGCGAAGGCGGCUUUCUGGUCUGUAACUGACGCUGAGGCGCGAAAGCGUGGGGAGCAAACAGGAUUAGAUACCCUGGUAGUCCACGCCGUAAACGAUGAGUGCUAAGUGUUAGGGGGGUUUUCCGCCCCCCUUAGUGCUGCAGCUAACGCAUUAAGCACUCCGCCUGGGAGUACGGCCGCAAGGCUG